UACGGAGGGUGCGAGCGUUUAUUGGAAUUACUGGGCGUAAAGCGCGCGUAGGCGGCUUGUUAAGUCGGAUGUGAAAUCCCCGGGCUCAACCUGGGAACUGCAUCCGAUACUGGCGAGCUGGAGUGCGAUAGAGGGGGGUAGAAUUCCUGGUGUAGCGGUGAAAUGCGUAGAUAUCAGGAGGAAUACCGGUGGCGAAGGCGGCCCCCUGGAUCGACACUGACGCUGAGGUGCGAAAGCGUGGGUAGCAAACAGG
RNAcentral lists this ribosomal RNA (253 nucleotides) under uncultured bacterium. RNAcentral describes it as "partial 16S ribosomal RNA". It matches the Rfam family "Bacterial small subunit ribosomal RNA", at positions 524 to 776 of the family's 1533-position model. The record is from RNAcentral.